AGUGAGCUCUCCCGGCCAGUCUCCUAGGGUCUAAGACAGGGAGUGACUAAGUUUUCAAGGGGAGGCGGCAAGUUAACAAGCCAGUUUCUUUCACCAAUCCUGUGAGCUAGCUCCAUUCUUUCUUCCAGUGUAGAACUAGAACCAGCCUAUAACCUAUUCAUCUUACGAACAUAUUCCCGCUCCAUUUUUUCUUAAGAAAUAAGAAAGAAAAGAAGCAAGCAUAUGAAUCUAUAUAUAGUAAAAAAAAAAGACUGAAAAUAAGGUACUAUCUAGUGAGCAAGCCUGUUCAAGUUGUAGUUCCUCCAG
RNAcentral lists this long non-coding RNA (306 nucleotides) under Gossypium barbadense (sea-island cotton). RNAcentral's name for it is "long non-coding RNA (GBAR_LNC009056)". The record is from RNAcentral. Lineage: Eukaryota; Viridiplantae; Streptophyta; Magnoliopsida; Malvales; Malvaceae.